RNAcentral lists this unclassified non-coding RNA (398 nucleotides) under fungal sp. Its description in RNAcentral is "partial internal transcribed spacer region". The stretch from base 1 to 46 matches the Rfam family "Eukaryotic small subunit ribosomal RNA", at positions 1786 to 1831 of the family's 1831-position model. Lineage: Eukaryota; Fungi. The record is from RNAcentral.
AAGUCGUAACAAGGUUUCCGUAGGUGAACCUGCGGAAGGAUCAUUAACACGUAUCCAAACGUUAAACCCCCCUGUGAACCUUCAGUGUACUCGUACGUCCGUUAGAAAAAGCAGCAAUCCCUGGUAAAUCAUCGCCGAAUAGUUUUCGAUUCAGGGACGUCUGCAAGGAGCGUGCAUGUUGUGCGAAGCAAGUGGCCUGGCAUCCCCAAGCAGUUAGUGUCUGAAAGUGUCAUUAACUGUGUAAGGAUGACGCAGUCACGAUCGUUGGAGGCCCACACGGCCGACGACCGGGUCACUGGGCGCAAGCCCCCCUAUAACAAACGCUGCCAAUCGCGGCCGCGAUAAUACGCAGUCGACAAAAAACCGAACAACUGUUAACAAUGGAUAUCUUGGUUCUC